Long non-coding RNA from Saccostrea cuccullata (small rock oyster), 448 nucleotides. RefSeq lists it as uncharacterized. The record is from RefSeq and is a predicted model, not a curated record. Lineage: Eukaryota; Metazoa; Mollusca; Bivalvia; Ostreida; Ostreidae. The transcript is spliced from 2 exons.
UACUACUACUUGAAUAGAUUUUUAUUUUAUUUACUGGUAUUAUCUAAAAAUGUCUCAUUCUUAUUUUUUUCACGAUAAAUUUGUAGCUGAAGAGUUUAAACUUUUUCAAUAUGCUGUUCUGCAUGUUUGUCUGUCAAUUAUAAAAGAUACAAUCCAAUGCGUUGGUCGUGAACAUGAUGAAAGUUUUCAGCCAUUUGGAUAUCCAUUUAAGGAAAUGCUUGUUAGCAGUUCUCCUGAAUGUUAAUUAGCUUACAGCAGUUUUUAAAGCAGUUCUUAUCAAUAUUCAUACUGGACAGCUGUUUUCACAGACCUCAUUAAAAUAUUUCGGCCUAUACAACAGCUAAAGAACUGGGAAUGCUAAAUAACUGCUGUUAACUGCUAUUGGAAUGUGUGUAUGCAAAUUACUAGUUUGCAUAAAGUGAGUGAACUGGAAUGCUAAGGAACAGCU